AGUCUGAUGGAGCAACGCCGCGUGAGUGAAGUAGGGUUUCGGCUCGUAAAGCUCUGUUGGUAGUGAAGAAAGAUAGAGGUAGUAACUGGCCUUUAUUUGACGGUAAUUACUUAGAAAGUCGCGGCUAACUACGUGCCAGCAGCCGCGGUAAUACGUAGGUGGCAAGCGUUGUCCGGAUUUAUUGGGCGUAAAGCGAGUGCAGGCGGUUCAAUAAGUCUGAUGUGAAAGCCUUCGGCUCAACCGGAGAAUUGCAUCAGAAACUGUUGAACUUGAGUGCAGAAGAGGAGAGUGGAACUCCAUGUGUAGCGGUGGAAUGCGUAGAUAUAUGGAAGAACACCAGUGGCGAAGGCGGCUCUCUGGUCUGCAACUGACGCUGAGGCUCGAAAGCAUGGGUAGCGAACAGGAUUAGAUACCCUGGUAGUCCAUGCCGUAAACGAUGAGUGCUAAGUGUUGGGAGGUUUCCGCCUCUCAGUGCUGCAGCUAACGCAUUAAGCACUCCGCCUGGGGAGUACGACCGCAAGGUUGAAACUCAAAGGAAUUGACGGGGGCCCGCACAAGCGGUGGAGCAUGUGGUUUAAUACGAAGCAACGCGAAGAACCUUACCAGGUCUUGACAUUC
RNAcentral lists this ribosomal RNA (618 nucleotides) under Lactobacillus gasseri. RNAcentral's name for it is "bacterial SSU rRNA". It matches the Rfam family "Bacterial small subunit ribosomal RNA", at positions 380 to 989 of the family's 1533-position model. Lineage: Bacteria; Bacillati; Bacillota; Bacilli; Lactobacillales; Lactobacillaceae. The record is from RNAcentral.